RNAcentral lists this ribosomal RNA (121 nucleotides) under Petromyzon marinus (sea lamprey). Lineage: Eukaryota; Metazoa; Chordata; Hyperoartia; Petromyzontiformes; Petromyzontidae. The record is from RNAcentral.
ACCUAUGAACAAAUCACCGUGAUGAAUGUGCCUGAUCUCGUUAGAUCUCAGCAACUAAGCAGAGUUUCGGCUAUUCAGUCUGGUAUGGGAGACUGCAUGGGAAUAGUAGGCGUUGUAGGCU